GUGAUCACUUCUGCAGCACAUAUACUAAAAUUGGAAUGAUAUAGAGAAGAUUAGCACGGCUCCUGCACAAGGAUGACAUAUAAAUUCGUGAAACGUUCCAUAUUUUU
Otolemur garnettii (small-eared galago) is the source of this 107-nucleotide small nuclear RNA. The record is from Ensembl. NCBI's taxonomy places the organism in Eukaryota, Metazoa, Chordata, Mammalia, Primates, Galagidae.